UACGUAGGGUGCGAGCGUUGCCCGGAUUUAUUGGGCGUAAAGGGCGCAUAGGCGGCUCGGCACGUCCGUUGUGAAAUCGCCCGGCUCAACUGGGCGGGGUCAGCGGAUACGGUCGAGCUUGAGCAAGCUAGGGGGCAAUGGAAUUCCCGGUGUAGUGGUGGAAUGCGUAGAUAUCGGGAGGAACACCAGUGGCGAAGGCGACUACCUGGCCUGUUCUUGACGCUGAGGCGCGAAAGCUAGGGGAGCAAACGGG
Molecule: ribosomal RNA, 253 nt
Filed under: uncultured bacterium
Lineage: Bacteria
Description: partial 16S ribosomal RNA
Rfam family: Bacterial small subunit ribosomal RNA
Source: RNAcentral